UAUGGAAUCUUCGGCAAUGGGGGCAACCCUGACCGAGCAACGCCGCGUGAGUGAAGAAGGUUUUCGGAUCGUAAAGCUCUGUUGUAAGAGAAGAACGUGUGUGAGAGUGGAAAGUUCACACAGUGACGGUAACUUACCAGAAAGGGACGGCUGACUACGUGCCAGCAGCCGCGGUAAUACGUAGGUCCCGAGCGUUGUCCGGAUUUAUUGGGCGUAAAGCGAGCGCAGGCGGUUUAAUAAGUCUGAAGUUAAAGGCAGUGGCUUAACCAUUGUUCGCUUUGGAAACUGUUAAACUUGAGUGCAGAAGGGGAGAGUGGAAUUCCAUGUGUAGCGGUGAAAUGCGUAGAUAUAUGGAGGAACACCGGUGGCGAAAGCGGCUCUCUGGUCUGUAACUGACGCUGAGGCUCGAAAGCGUGGGGAGCAAACAGG
This 429-nucleotide ribosomal RNA is filed under the name bacterium. Its description in RNAcentral is "partial 16S ribosomal RNA". It matches the Rfam family "Bacterial small subunit ribosomal RNA", at positions 355 to 776 of the family's 1533-position model. The record is from RNAcentral.